RNAcentral lists this ribosomal RNA (253 nucleotides) under uncultured bacterium. Its description in RNAcentral is "partial 16S ribosomal RNA". It matches the Rfam family "Bacterial small subunit ribosomal RNA", at positions 524 to 776 of the family's 1533-position model. The record is from RNAcentral.
UACGAAGGGGGCUAGCGUUGCUCGGAAUCACUGGGCGUAAAGCGCACGUAGGCGGAUCUUUAAGUCAGAGGUGAAAUCCCAAGGCUCAACCUUGGAACUGCCUUUGAUACUGGGGAUCUCGAGUCCGGAAGAGGUUGGUGGAACUCCGAGUGUAGAGGUGAAAUUCGUAGAUAUUCGGAAGAACACCAGUGGCGAAGGCGGCCAACUGGUCCGGUACUGACGCUGAGGUGCGAAAGCGUGGGGAGCAAACAGG